GACGUAUGAUAUACGCAAACAACCUCGCGAAUAAAGUUUACAAAAAGCUGUCUAUCAAAUUGGGAUUUUUGUUACGAAGUUAGACACGACAUAUUUUACUAUUCAGAUACGCAAUAAUAUUUGUUACACACUUAUUUUUCAAAAUUGAUUUGUGAGACCUUCCUGAACGGAAAAUUCCUCGAACUUUUAAUUUUCGAUGGGUCCGUCUUGGGUGAACCGACUGACAGGAAGAAGAAAGACCACAAACCCACAAACCCCAAAAUUUGCGAAAUUCAUUAAUUCAGUUAAUUCUGCCUACAUUAACUUUUAAAAAGUUUGGUGGAAACACCUUUAUUUACUAGUUAGUUAAACAAGUGUUUUGAACACUUGUCUUAUCUUUUUAAAAAAGAAAAAAAAAGUAAAAAUAGUUACCAAGAUGAGAUUCGAACACACGACGACUCCCGUGUCGGUGCUCAGAGAGGCAAAAAUUUCCAUUCUUGUAGGACACAUUUGCGUUUUAAUACAAGCUCACGAGCAUUAUGUUAUAAUUCUUGUAACACGAUCAAAAAUUCCGAUCAUAGACCCGUUUAUGCGAUAUUUGAAACAACUGUUGAACCAUACAAAUCCAAGUUUGUAAUUGGAGGAGGACAUUUUGACAGAGAAGUUUACGUUGAAGCUAAUCUGAGAAGAAAUGCACCGUCAGGUUCGCAAGGAAACAGCCAUGUUUGUACUAUACUGUAACUCGUUAACAUUUGUACAGCUCUCAAGUUCAACAUAAAUAACCCGAAAAACCAUUUUUAUGAGAAAAUUAGAACGGUUCUCCUCUUUUUAAGUGCGAAGAUAACUUCUUCAGAGAGGUAACUUCAUUUCUUCUAGUUUGUGUUUUUGUUGUGUCCCCUAUUUUUUAUUCGCAUUUGUUAUUUUAAAUAUUAAAUUGUAGAUAUUCUAUCUUAAUUUAUACAAACUAUGUAUGUAUAUAUUGAAAUUAUAGCAGAAGUAUUUAUAUGUGUAUAUAAAUAUAAGUGAAUCGAAAAAUGUAGUUUCGCGUUGCGUUGCAAAA
This is a long non-coding RNA of Hydractinia symbiolongicarpus, 1039 nucleotides long. RefSeq lists it as uncharacterized. NCBI's taxonomy places the organism in Eukaryota, Metazoa, Cnidaria, Hydrozoa, Anthoathecata, Hydractiniidae. The record is from RefSeq and is a predicted model, not a curated record. The transcript has 4 exons.